GAUAACUCUCAACAACGGAUAUCUUGGCUCUCGCAACGAUGAAGAACGCAGCGAAAUGCGAUACGUAGUGUGAAUCGCAGAAUUCCGUGAACCAUCGAAUCUUUGAACGCAUAUUGCGCUCGAGCCUCCGGGCAAGAGCAUGUCUGCCUCAGCGUCGGUUUACACCCUCACCCCUCCCACUUUGUUGGGUUGCUUGGCAACUUUGCCAGCAUAGGUGGUGGAUCUGGCUUCCCCAAUCUGCCGUCUGGUAGAUUGGGUUGGCUGAAGAGUAGAGGUUUAAGCAAGGACCCGUUAUGGGCUUCAACUGGAUAGGUAGCACCGGCUUGUGCCGACUACACGAAGUUGAUGCUCGUGGAUCUUGCUAGAGGCCAAGCAGGAACGUGCCCAUGGCACGUCUAAACUUUCGACCUGAGCUCAGGCAAGGCUACCCGCUGAACUUAAGCAUAUCAAUAAGCGGAGGAA
RNAcentral lists this ribosomal RNA (462 nucleotides) under uncultured organism. RNAcentral's name for it is "eukaryotic LSU rRNA". The stretch from base 4 to 157 matches the Rfam family "5.8S ribosomal RNA". The record is from RNAcentral.